UACGUAGGGUGCGAGCGUUGUCCGGAAUUACUGGGCGUAAAGAGCUCGUAGGUGGUUUGUCGCGUUGUCCGUGAAAACUCACAACUCAAUUGUGGGCGUGCGGGCGAUACGGGCAGACUGGAGUACUGCAGGGGAGACUGGAAUUCCUGGUGUAGCGGUGGAAUGCGCAGAUAGCAGGAGGAACACCGGUGGCGAAGGCGGGUCUCUGGGCAGUAACUGACGCUGAGGAGCGAAAGCGUGGGGAGCGAACAGG
RNAcentral lists this ribosomal RNA (253 nucleotides) under uncultured bacterium. RNAcentral's name for it is "partial 16S ribosomal RNA". It matches the Rfam family "Bacterial small subunit ribosomal RNA", at positions 524 to 776 of the family's 1533-position model. The record is from RNAcentral.